This 297-nucleotide ribosomal RNA is filed under the name Lecanora epibryon. RNAcentral's name for it is "partial 18S ribosomal RNA". The record is from RNAcentral. Lineage: Eukaryota; Fungi; Ascomycota; Lecanoromycetes; Lecanorales; Lecanoraceae.
CUUGGUCAUUUAGAGGAAGUAAAAGUCGUAACAAGGUUUCCGUAGGUGACGCCCGCAAGUUCGCCUACCGAAACCCACAGCAGCCGACUCUAAACCACCUGCUCGCAGUCAGCCUCCGCGUUGGCGACGCCUUCAACCUGCACUGGGAGCCCUGUUCGACAGGGCCACCAGCGGCUCCCUAUCCCGGAGUUCACAGGUCAAACGUGGGCGGCCACUUCCACCGGUUGUGGUUCAGAUAUGAUCGGCCCUAGCCGGCGACGGCUAGCGACUCUUCGCGGAACCUGCGGAAGGAUCAUU